Molecule: ribosomal RNA, 468 nt
Filed under: uncultured bacterium
Lineage: Bacteria
Description: partial 16S ribosomal RNA
Rfam family: Bacterial small subunit ribosomal RNA
Source: RNAcentral
GACGAACGCUGGCGGCGUGCUUAACACAUGCAAGUCGAACGGAAAGGCCCUGCUUUUGUGGGGUGCUCGAGUGGCGAACGGGUGAGUAACACGUGAGUAACCUGCCCUUGACUUUGGGAUAACUUCAGGAAACUGGGGCUAAUACCGGAUAGGAGCUCCUGCUGCAUGGUGGGGGUUGGAAAGUUUCGGCGGUUGGGGAUGGACUCGCGGCUUAUCAGCUUGUUGGUGGGGUAGUGGCUUACCAAGGCUUUGACGGGUAGCCGGCCUGAGAGGGUGACCGGCCACAUUGGGACUGAGAUAGGGCCCAGACUCCUACGGGAGGCAGCAGUGGGGAAUAUUGCACAAUGGGCGGAAGCCUGAUGCAGCAACGCCGCGUGCGGGAUGACGGCCUUCGGGUUGUAAACCGAUUUCGCCUGUGACGAAGCGUGAGUGACGGUAAUGGGUAAAGAAGCACCGGCUAACUACGUG